UGGGGACAACCACUGGAAACGGUGGCUAAUACCGAAUAAGCCGAAAGGUGAAAGAUUAAUUGCCUGGGGAAGAGCUCGCGUCUGAUUAGCUAGUUGGUGGGGUAAGAGCCUACCAAGGCACCGAUCAGUAACUGGUCUGAGAGGACGAGCAGUCACACUGGGACUGAGACACGGCCCAGACUCCUACGGGAGGCAGCAGUGGGGAAUUUUCCGCAAUGGGCGAAAGCCUGACGGAGCAAUACCGCGUGAGGGAGGAAGGCUUUAGGGUUGUAAACCUCUUUUCUUAGGGAAGAAAAAAUGACGGUACCUAAGGAAUAAGCAUCGGCUAACUCCGUGCCAGCAGCCGCGGUAAUACACUGUGACGGUAGCUUACCAGAAAGGGACGGCUAACUACGUGCCAGCAGCCGCGGUAAUGUCUGCUGUCAAAGACCGGGGCUUAACCCUGGAAAGGCAGUGGAAACUGAAGAUCUAGAGUGCGGUAGGGGCAGAGGGAAUUCCCAGUGUAGCGGUGAAAUGCGUAGAGAUUGGGAAGAACACCGGUGGCGAAAGCGCUCUGCUGGGCCUGCACUGACACUAAGGGACGAAAGCUAGGGGAGCGAAUGGGAUUAGAUACCCCAGUAGUCCUAGCCGUAAACGAUGGAUACUAGGCGUAGCUUGUAUCGACCCAAGCUGUGCCGUAGCUAACGCGUUAAGUAUCCCGCCUGGGGAGUACGCUCGCAAGAGUGAAACUCAAAUGAAUUGACGGGG
This 747-nucleotide ribosomal RNA is filed under the name uncultured Gammaproteobacteria bacterium. RNAcentral's name for it is "bacterial SSU rRNA". It matches the Rfam family "Bacterial small subunit ribosomal RNA", at positions 138 to 918 of the family's 1533-position model. The record is from RNAcentral. Lineage: Bacteria; Pseudomonadati; Pseudomonadota; Gammaproteobacteria.